Molecule: long non-coding RNA, 1735 nt
Organism: Oreochromis aureus
Lineage: Eukaryota; Metazoa; Chordata; Actinopteri; Cichliformes; Cichlidae
Source: Ensembl
UGGGGGUUCAGGAUCGUUUAGCAUGCAGAGUGAUUGAACCACCAACCAUCCACUUCGUAGAUGACCUGCUCCACCUGCUGCAGCCACCCCGAUUGUUUGGAGAACUCGGGCGUGAAACUAUGAGGAAAGCCAACGUUCUCCUCUUUCCACAGAAGUGAUCUGUGGCUGCUGGACUUCAUUCCUCAAAUUAACAAAGUGUGAAGCUGAACUCUGAGCUGUGACAGUGUGAGCAGUGUGAGAGUGUCAGUAGAUGAUCAGCAGAGGAAAGUGAGAGCUGCUGUGAGCUGAUGUCCUGAAGGGCUUUUAAAGAGUCUCUGAGUUUGACAGGAACAUGAAGAUGUUUGUGGUGUUUGUGAUCCUCCUGCACGUUUCCCAGCAUGCCUCAGCUGUGGAGCUGUAUGAGGGAGAGCCGUCUGUCCUGCUGCCCUGUGAGUUUCCCACUUUUGAACUGGACAGCCCCACGGUGGUGUGGAGUCGCUCCGACCUCAGUCCUCCAACCGUCCACCAGCGUCAGCUUCAAGGAGACAAACUGAAAGAUCAAAACCAGCGUUACAGCGGCCGAACAUCCAUGAAGACUGACGCUCUGGAAACUGGAGACCUCAGCCUGACCCUGACUGACCUCCAACUGUCUGACAGUGGCACCUAUACCUGCUCCAUCAGAUCGUUUAGAGGAGAAUGGAGACUGAGAGAUGUCCCACUGCAGGUCAAAGAACCAUUUCCAUCCUGGGCCACAGCUCUCCUGGUUCUCCUGGUUCUUGUUCUCAUCGUCUCUGGAGGUCUUUUAUUUCAUUUCCGGCACUAUUUCAUGUCAGUUUACAAGGUGGAGGUGGAUUCAGGGGUGGAGUCUGUCCUGCUCCCCUGUAAAGCCACACUUCAGCUGCCUAAAGACGUUAGAGUGGAGUGGAAGGACAUGAAAGACAGGAAGGUCCACGUGUGUGAGAACAGCUCUGACAAGAAUAAAGAACAGGAUGAAGUUUACAGAAAUCGAACAAAGAUGAAUGAAGACCUGCUGAAAACUGGAGACCUCAGUCUGAGCCUGAAACACCCCACAGAGAGAGACACAAACACCUACACCUGCACCGUCUACAGCAGGGACGGAAACAUCCUGCUGAAGAAACAAGUGCUGCUUACUGUCAGAGAGUGUCGGGUGGAGGUGGAGGUGGGGGCGGAGUCUGUCCAGCUGCCCUUCAAAACCACAGCUCAGCUGCCUGAAGACACUCAGGUGGAGUGGUGGCACCGUCCUGAGAAGCCUGACAAACAGGAGCGGGAUUACAGAGACCGAGUGAAGAUGAAGGACGAGCGUGUGAAAAGCGGACGGUUCAGCCUGACCCUUGAACGCCCCACAGAGAGAGACAGUGGCAGAUACAGCUGUGUGGCCUGGAGCCAGGGAAACAUCAUCGGAUGGAGAGUCGUGCUGCUCACAGUUACAGGGAGAGAUCAGCACAUCAGGAACAGAAGCAGCUCCAUUGAUCCGACUCCUCUGAUGGCUGAAGUUUGAUCUGUGUUCCUUUGUUAUUGAUCAGUGAUGUCAGAGUGGAGUCAGUGUGAUGCUAUCAGUUAUACUGGAAACACUUUGCUUCAGUUUCUCCUACUGAUCAGUUUCUGUCUUGACUCUGUUUAAAGCUUUGUGAGUGUCGGUGGGCAGUGAGCAUGAGUGGGAGCCGUGGACGCUGCUGCAGGAAGGCUGCAUGUCAUUUAUUUGUAUGAGUUUAAUCCAUUAAAGUUAAUAAAGAGC